UACGUAGGGGGCAAGCGUUAUCCGGAUUCACUGGGUGUAAAGGGAGCGUAGACGGCCAAGCAAGCCAGGGGUGAAAGCCCGGGGCCCAACCCCGGGACUGCCCUUGGAACUGCAUGGCUGGAGUGCGGGAGGGGCAGGCGGAAUUCCUGGUGUAGCGGUGAAAUGCGUAGAUAUCAGGAGGAACACCGGCGGCGAAGGCGGCCUGCUGGACUGCGACUGACGUUGAGGCUCGAAAGCGUGGGGAGCGAACAGG
RNAcentral lists this ribosomal RNA (253 nucleotides) under uncultured bacterium. RNAcentral describes it as "partial 16S ribosomal RNA". It matches the Rfam family "Bacterial small subunit ribosomal RNA", at positions 524 to 776 of the family's 1533-position model. The record is from RNAcentral.